This 3319-nucleotide long non-coding RNA is filed under the name Chlamydomonas reinhardtii. RNAcentral describes it as "long non-coding RNA (CREI_LNC000472)". Lineage: Eukaryota; Viridiplantae; Chlorophyta; Chlorophyceae; Chlamydomonadales; Chlamydomonadaceae. The record is from RNAcentral.
CUCCUGCGAGGCGGAACGCAGCGGGGCGCAGGGCGGCAGGCGGGCAAGGGUCAAUGGACAGCAGCGGCAUAGAAACAACAACAAGCAGUUAGGGCAAGCCAACCGACGCCGUAGCCUAGAUUCCCCAACCCUUUACCCAAUCCUUCAACGACCACAAACCCGCCCUGCUUUCGCCCCGCCACUGACGGGCCCUCGCCCCUCGUCCCCCUGCGCCCGCAGCAAGCCCCCAACUCACGUCGGCCUGCAGCUCGUAGUCGGACUGGCUGAUCCACGUGCCGUUGAAGGUGUUGGUCUCAAUGAUGUCCGCGCCAGCCUCCAGGUACGCCGUGUGGAUCUUGCUAAUCACAUCGGGCCGCGUGAUCACCAGCAAGUCGUUGUUGCCCUUGAGCUCGUGGCUGUGCUUGGCGUAGCGCUCGCCGCGGAAAUCCUCCUCCUCCAGCGUGAACUUCUGGAUCUGGGUGCCCAUGGCGCCGUCAAUGAAGAUGAUGCGCUCACGCAUCAGCUUGUCCAGCGGCACAAACGCGGCAGUCGGCUUCACGCCGUCCUUCCACGCCUUGUACUUGGGCACCGGCGCCGGCUUGGCGUCCGGCGCCAGCUGGUCCUUGCCCGCCGGGAUGGGGUUGAGGCGGGGAGUGAUCUUGGGGCCGCUGCUGGCACCUCCCAGGCGCACCACAGCGGUGGGCUUGCUCUUGGGGUCGAGGGUAGCGGCGUACUCCAGCAUGCGCUCGGUCGAGUCCUGGCGCCUGUGCAUCGGUGCAACCACGUGGGAAGAGCCGCAAGAACAUCAGCGCAAGACACAUCGUACCACUGUACCUGGUAACCCAAGUGGAGUCACUGUCGCACGGAAGCCAAAAUGCAUUCCCGGCGGCCAACCAAAAGGCGCAGGUACAACUUCGCAUGCCGCCCGAUCCCUUAUGGGCCACGUCCCACGUUCCGCAGGCUUGUCAACAGCUCCAUUCAGUCCCGCCCCGCCCCGUCCCCCGGGCCCCAGCCCCCCCCCCCCCGGCCCACCUGUUGAGCAGCACGUCCUCCACGAACUCCAGCAGCUCCUUGUCGAUCUUGCUGUACUCGUCCUCCUUCACCUGGGGCCCCGCCCCGUCCCCCGGGCCCCAGCCCCCCCCCCCCCGGCCCACCUGUUGAGCAGCACGUCCUCCACGAACUCCAGCAGCUCCUUGUCGAUCUUGCUGUACUCGUCCUCCUUCACCUGGGCCGCGUUCACAAUGCCCAUGUCCAUGCCAGCCAGGCACGCGUGGUGCAGGAAAGCGCUGUGGAACGCGCGGCGCACAGCCUCGUUGCCGCGGAAGCUGAAAGCAAUGUUGCUCACGCCGCCGCUGAUCUUCGCGCCAGGGCAGCAGCGCUUAAUUUCGCGGGUAGCGCGGAUGAAGUCGACGGCAUAGUUGUUGUGCUCCGGCAGGCCGGUGCCGAUGGUCAGGAUGUUGGGGUCGAAGAUGAUGUCCUGAGGGUCAAAGCCCACCUCCUUCACCAGGAUGCGGUAAGCGCGGCUGCAGAUGCGGACCUUGUCUUCGUAGCUCGCCGCCUGGCCCUGCUCAUCGAACGCCAUCACCACCACCGCGGCGCCGUGGCGCUUGACCUCCUCCGCCUGGUGCUUGAACGCCGCCUCGCCCUCCUUCAGACUGAUGCUGUUCACAAUGCACUUGCCCUGGCUGCACUUCAGGCCGGCCUCCACAAUGUGGAACUUGCUGCUGUCAAUCAUGAACGGCACGCGGCUGAUCUCGGGGUCGCUGACCAGCAGGUUGACGAAGCGGGUCAUGGCGCCCACGCCCUCAAUCAGGCCGUCGUCCAUGUUAAUGUCCAGCACGUCCGCGCCCUGCUGCACCUGCUUCAGCGCGAUGGCCACGGCGGUGUCGAAGUCGUUGUUGAUGAUGGCCUUCUUGAACAGGAUGCUGCCCGCCACGUUGCAGCGCUCGCCAAUGUUGAGGAAGGUGCGGCGCAUGUUGGAGGCGUCGGGCGUGUAGUUCAGCGGCUCCAGGCCGCUCAGGCGCAUCAGCGGCGGCACGGUCACAGGCUUGCGCGGCUUGUAGGCGGACGCCAUCUUCUUGAUGGCGGCAAUGUGCUCCGGCCCAGUGCCGCAGCAGCCGCCAAUGGCAUUCACCAGGUUGCCCUCGCAGAAGGGCCGAAUCUCCUCCGCCAUCUCAUCGCCCUUCUGGUCGUAGCCGCCCAUGGCGUUGGGCAGGCCGGCGUUGGGGUAGCAGAACACGUAGCAGUCGGCGCAGGCGGCCAGGUUGGCCACGUACUUGAGCAUGUCCUUGGCGCCCAGCGCGCAGUUCAGGCCCACUGCCAUGGGCUUGGCGUGGCGGAUGCUGUUCCAGAACGCCUCGUUGGUCUGGCCGCUCAGCGUGCGGCCGCUGUUGUCCACGAUGGUGCCACUCACAAACACCGGCAGCCGCAUGCCCUUGUCGGAGAAGAACUUCUCCAGUGCGUACAUGGCGGCCUUGGCGUUCAGCGUGUCGAAGAUGGUCUCCACCAGGAACAUGUCCACGCCGCCCUCCACCAGCGCCUCCGCCUGCUUAUAGUAGGCGUCCACCACCUCGUCAUAGGUGAUGCCGCGGAAUGCAGGGUUCUCGACGCUGGGCGACACGCUCAGCGUCUUGUUGGUGGGGCCGAUGGCGCCGGCCACAAAGCGCGGGCCGCUGCCGGGGUUCUUGGCCAGGAAGUCGGCCACGCACUUCUUCGCCAGCUGCGCGGCCGUGCGGUUGAUCAGAGCCACCUCCUCCUGCGAGGCGGAACGCGGCGGGGCGCAGGGCGGCAGGCGGGCAAGGGUCAAUGGACAGCAGCGGCAUAGAAACAACAACAAGCGUUCACCCCAAGCCAACGGACGCGGUAGCCUUAAUCCCCCGACCCUGUCCCGAUCCAUCAACGACCACAAACCGGCCCGCUUGCCUCUGCUGCAGCCGCAACUGGCUGCAUGUGCUUCAAGCAGACGAACGAGCCUACAACCCCAGCCCUGCUCUCGCCCCAUCAGCUCGCCCCAACCCCAUCAGCCCGCCCCAACCCCAUCAGCCCGCCCAACCGCGAUGGCCCUGGUCCCUCCUCCCCCUGCGCCCGCACCAAGCUCCCGACUCACGUCGGCCUGCAGCUCGUAGUCCGACUGGCUGAUCCACGUGCCGUUGAAGGUGUUGGUCUCAAUGAUGUCCGCGCCAGCCUCCAGGUACGCCGUGUGGAUCUUGCUGAUCACAUCGGGCCGCGUGAUCACCAGCAAGUCGUUGUUGCCCUUGAGCUCGUGGCUGUGCUUGGCGUAGCGCUCGCCGCGGAAAUCCUCCUCCUCCAGCGUGAACUUCUGGAUCUGGGUGCCCAUGGC